UUAAUGAUGUGGCUUAAAGAACAUUUCUUCGUAGUACCAUUUAGUUUUGGCUCAUUUUAACAUACGGUUACAGUGCUGCGAAUUCCCCAAAUGUGGGAAUCUCGACUGCAUAAUUUCUGGUAGUGGGGGACUGCGUUCGCGCUCUCCCCUG
Molecule: small nuclear RNA, 151 nt
Filed under: Anabas testudineus (climbing perch)
Lineage: Eukaryota; Metazoa; Chordata; Actinopteri; Anabantiformes; Anabantidae
Description: U1 spliceosomal RNA (ENSATEG00000028659.1)
Source: RNAcentral